UGUUAGUGGAACGGUCUGGAAAGUCCGGCGAUACAGGGUGAUAGCCCCGUACACGAAAGCACACAUGCUGUGAACUCGAAGAGUAGGGCGGGACACGUGGUAUCCUGUCUGAAUAUGGGGGGACCAUCCUCCAAGGCUAAAUACUCCUGACUGACCGAUAGUGAACCAGUACCGUGAGGGAAAGGCGAAAAGAACCCCGGCGAGGGGAGUGAAAAAGAACCUGAAACCGUGUACGUACAAGCAGUGGGAGCCUCUUUAUGGGGUGACUGCGUACCUUUUGUAUAAUGGGUCAGCGACUUAUAUUCUGUAGCAAGGUUAACCGUAUAGGGGAGCCGAAGGGAAACCGAGUCUUAACUGGGCGUUAAGUUGCAGGGUAUAGACCCGAAACCCGGUGAUCUAGCCAUGGGCAGGUUGAAGGUUGGGUAACACUAACUGGAGGACCGAACCGACUAAUGUUGAAAAAUUAGCGGAUGACCUGUGGCUGGGGGUGAAAGGCCAAUCAAACCGGGAGAUAGCUGGUUCUCCCCGAAAGCU
RNAcentral lists this ribosomal RNA (534 nucleotides) under Enterobacter hormaechei. RNAcentral describes it as "partial 23S ribosomal RNA". It matches the Rfam family "Bacterial large subunit ribosomal RNA", at positions 327 to 867 of the family's 2925-position model. Lineage: Bacteria; Pseudomonadati; Pseudomonadota; Gammaproteobacteria; Enterobacterales; Enterobacteriaceae. The record is from RNAcentral.